Molecule: long non-coding RNA, 617 nt
Organism: Patiria miniata (bat star)
Lineage: Eukaryota; Metazoa; Echinodermata; Asteroidea; Valvatida; Asterinidae
Exons: 3
Source: RefSeq, a predicted model, not a curated record
GUUCAGUAUUUGAUACAUCCCUCGAUGCACCAUCGGUCGCGCAUGCGGCACGUCGAUCGUCGUGGUGUCAUCAGAUAACAAUUGUUUUGACCAUGGAGCUAUUGUUUGGCCGUGGUUUUACACACAGACUCAUAAAAUUGUGAUAGGCAUUUACAGGAUAACUAGUUUAGUACUAGAAACCUUCGAAAGAAUGUCAAUUGCGUCCUGAAUUCAUGACGUGUAUCCUCGAGCUCGACGCAGCUAAUAACGCCGGGGGUCUUAGCUGGAGUUACCUAUAGACAACCCAAUGAUAAAACUCAGGGCUGGGUAACUCCAGCUACGGGGGUCUGACGAUGUCAUCAGAUAAGACUUUGAAUGAUGUUAUUUGACCCUGAAAAUUGGGAAUCAGCCAAAGCAGUCCUGUAUGGCGGUCGUGUGGAAAGGAUGCAACCGUGUGGGAUGGCCGUCACUACAAGCAGUCACUUCUUGAGACACCAAAUCCUGUCACACAAGGCCAAUGGAUGGUUGGUGCAUUUUCACUGAGUUUGAAUGUGGUAGGAUUCUAAGGAAUCUAGAGCCAGGGAUGAAGCGGAAGCCACAACGAAGCCAGGGUUUCAUAAACACCACAGAAAGUUGGU